GGGGGUGACUGGCUUCGAUAAGGGAAUCGACAUAUGUGUGUGCGGGCAGAGCUGUAGUUGCUCUUUAAUCCGCUACACAAAUUCAAGUGCGAACAAAGCACAGGGGGUUCUUUCCCCCAUCCAGCCCGCUUACGCUUUUGCCUAAGCGGCCGUUCGUAACGCCGACGCUUGAAUAAGCGUUAUUGGACGUCACUUCUUUCAAGCACUGAUGUCGUUUGCUCGAGCUUCAUCUAAGACUAGAGCUCGGCUUUGCGCGAUUCUGAAUGUCUCAUACGCGCAUUGCUUAAACUUCAAGAUGUUCUACGCCUUGUAGAAUCACACAUACUGUUUUUCCUUGGACCGGGGUUCAAUUCCCCGCACCUCCACAA
This 368-nucleotide transfer-messenger RNA is filed under the name Minisyncoccia. RNAcentral describes it as "UBA10103 sp003545515 X2 Standard tmRNA". It matches the Rfam family "transfer-messenger RNA". From Rfam's summary of the family: Bacterial tmRNA, also known as 10Sa RNA or SsrA, is named for its dual tRNA and mRNA-like properties. Its role is to liberate the mRNA from a stalled ribosome. To accomplish this part of the tmRNA is used as a reading frame that ends in a translation stop signal. Lineage: Bacteria; Bacillati; Minisyncoccota. The record is from RNAcentral.